UUAGCCCUAAACACAAAUAAUUAUAAAAACAAAAUUAUUCGCCAGAGUACUACCGGCAACAGCCUAAAACUCAAAGGACUUGGCGGUGCUUUAUACCCUUCUAGAGGAGCCUGUUCUAUAAUCGAUAAACCCCGAUAGACCUCACCAAUUCUUGCUAAUACAGUCUAUAUACCGCCAUCUUCAGCAAACCCUAAAAAGGAAUAAAAGUAAGCAUAAUCACAACACAUAAAAACGUUAGGUCAAGGUGUAACCUAUNAAAUG
RNAcentral lists this ribosomal RNA (261 nucleotides) under Cephalophus dorsalis (bay duiker). Its description in RNAcentral is "partial small subunit ribosomal RNA". The record is from RNAcentral. Lineage: Eukaryota; Metazoa; Chordata; Mammalia; Artiodactyla; Bovidae.